UUGAGGGCAGUCUGGUGCCAGCAGCCGCGGUAAUUCCAGCUCCUAUAGCGUAUAUUAAAGUUGUUGCAGUUAAAAAGCUCGUAGUUGAAUUUCGGGGUCAGUAGGUCGGUCGUGCCACUGGUAUGAACUGGUUUUACUGAUUCCUCCCUCUUGAAGAACUGUAAUGCCAUUAAUUUGGUGUUGCAGGGAAUCAGGACUGUUACUUUGAAAAAAUUAGAGUGUUUAAAGCAGGCUUUGGCUUGAAUACAUUAGCAUGGAAUAAUGAAAUAGGACGUUCGAUCCUAUUUUGUUGGUUUCUAGGAUUGACGUAAUGGUUAAUAGGGAUAGUUGGGGGCAUUAGUAUUCAAUUGUCAGAGGUGAAAUUCUUGGAUUUAUUGAAGACUAACUACUGCGAAAGCAUUUGCCAAGGAUGUUUUCAUUAAUCAAGAACGAAAGUUAGGGGAUCGAAGACGAUCAGAUACCGUCGUAGUCUUAACCAUAAACUAUGCCGACUAGGGAUCGGAUGAUGUUAAUUUUUUAAUGACUCAUUCGGCGCCUUACGGGAAAC
Molecule: ribosomal RNA, 547 nt
Filed under: uncultured Glomeromycotina
Lineage: Eukaryota; Fungi; Glomeromycota
Description: SSU rRNA
Rfam family: Eukaryotic small subunit ribosomal RNA
Source: RNAcentral